GACGAACGCUGGCGGCGUGCCUAAUACAUGCAAGUAGAACGCUGAAGGAGGAGCUUGCUUCUCUGGAUGAGUUGCGAACGGGUGAGUAACGCGUAGGUAACCUGCCUGGUAGCGGGGGAUAACUAUUGGAAACGAUAGCUAAUACCGCAUAACAGUAGAUAUCGCAUGAUAUCUACUUGAAAGGUGCAAUUGCAUCACUACCAGAUGGACCUGCGUUGUAUUAGCUAGUUGGUGAGGUAACGGCUCACCAAGGCGACGAUACAUAGCCGACCUGAGAGGGUGAUCGGCCACACUGGGACUGAGACACGGCCCAGACUCCUACGGGAGGCAGCAGUAGGGAAUCUUCGGCAAUGGACGGAAGUCUGACCGAGCAACGCCGCGUGAGUGAAGAAGGUUUUCGGAUCGUAAAGCUCUGUUGUAAGAGAAGAACGAGUGUGAGAGUGGAAAGUUCACACUGUGACGGUAUCUUACCAGAAAGGGACGGCUAACUACGUGC
RNAcentral lists this ribosomal RNA (496 nucleotides) under uncultured bacterium. RNAcentral describes it as "partial 16S ribosomal RNA". It matches the Rfam family "Bacterial small subunit ribosomal RNA", at positions 28 to 508 of the family's 1533-position model. The record is from RNAcentral.